This 496-nucleotide ribosomal RNA is filed under the name uncultured bacterium. RNAcentral's name for it is "partial 16S ribosomal RNA". It matches the Rfam family "Bacterial small subunit ribosomal RNA", at positions 28 to 506 of the family's 1533-position model. The record is from RNAcentral.
GAUGAACGCUGGCGGCGUGCCUAAUCCAUGCAAGUCGAGCGAACAGACGAGGAGCUUGCUCCUCUGACGUUAGCGGCGGACGGGUGAGUACCACGUGGAUAACCUACCUAUAAGACUGGGAUAACUUCGGGAAACCGGAGCUAAUACCGGAUAUUAUAUUGAACCGCAUGGUUCAAUAGUGAAAGACGGUUUUGCUGUCACUUAUAGAUGGAUCCGCGCCGCAUUAGCUAGUUGGUAAGGUAACGGCUUACCAAGGCAACGAUGCGUAGCCGACCUGAGAGGGUGAUCGGCCACACUGGAACUGAGACACGGUCCAGACUCCUACGGGAGGCAGCAGUAGGGAAUCUUCCGCAGUGGGCGAAAGCCUGACGGAGCAACGCCGCGUGAGUGAUGAAGGUCUUCGGAUCGUAAAACUCUGUUAUUAGGGAAGAACAAAUGUGUAAGUAACUAUGCACGUCUUGACGGUACCUAAUCAGAAAGCCACGGCUAACUACGU